Molecule: ribosomal RNA, 468 nt
Filed under: uncultured bacterium
Lineage: Bacteria
Description: partial 16S ribosomal RNA
Rfam family: Bacterial small subunit ribosomal RNA
Source: RNAcentral
GACGAACGCUGGCGGCGUGCUUAACACAUGCAAGUCGAACGGAAAGGCCCUGCUUUUGUGGGGUGCUCGAGUGGCGAACGGGUGAGUAACACGUGAGUAACCUGCCCUUGACUUUGGGAUAACUUCAGGAAACUGGGGCUAAUACCGGAUAGGAGCUCCAGCUGCAUGGUGGGGGUUGGAAAGUUUCGGCGGUUGGGGAUGGACUCGCGGCUUAUCAGCUUGUUGGUGGGGUAGUGGCUUACCAAGGCUUUGACGGGUAGCCGGCCUGAGAGGGUGACCGGUCACAUUGGGACUGAGAUACGGCCCAGACUCCUACGGGAGGCAGCAGUGGGGAAUAUUGCACAAUGGGCGGAAGCCUGAUGCAGCAACGCCGCGUGCGGGAUGACGGCCUUCGGGUUGUAAACCGCUUUCGCCUGUGACGAAGCGUGAGUGACGGUAAUGGGUAAAGAAGCACCGGCUAACUACGUG